GCGUAGGGACCAAGCGUUGUUCGGAUUUACUGGGCGUAAAGGGCGCGUAGGCGGCAUGGUAAGUCACUUGUGAAAUCUCCGAGCUUAACUCGGAACGGCCAAGUGGUACUGCUGAGCUAGAGUGCAGAAGGGGCAAUCGGAAUUCUUGGUGUAGCGGUGAAAUGCGUAGAUAUCAAGAGGAACACCUGAGGUGAAGACGGGUUGCUGGGCUGACACUGACGCUGAGGCGCGAAAGCUAGGGGAGCAAACGG
Molecule: ribosomal RNA, 251 nt
Filed under: uncultured prokaryote
Description: partial 16S ribosomal RNA
Rfam family: Bacterial small subunit ribosomal RNA
Source: RNAcentral